UACGGAGGGUGCAAGCGUUAUCCGGAUUCACUGGGUUUAAAGGGUGCGUAGGCGGGUUGGUAAGUCAGUGGUGAAAUCUUCAAGCUUAACUUGGAAACUGCCGUUGAUACUAUCAAUCUUGAAUAUUGUGGAGGUAAGCGGAAUAUGCCAUGUAGCGGUGAAAUGCUUAGAUAUGACAUAGAACACCGAUAGCGAAGGCAGCUUGCUACACAGUAAUUGACGCUGAGGCACGAAAGCGUGGGGAUCAAACAGG
Molecule: ribosomal RNA, 253 nt
Filed under: uncultured bacterium
Lineage: Bacteria
Description: partial 16S ribosomal RNA
Rfam family: Bacterial small subunit ribosomal RNA
Source: RNAcentral